GACAGAGGGUGCAAACGUUGCUCGGAAUCACUGGGCGUAAAGGGCGUGUAGGCGGGGAGGCAAGUCGGGCGGGAAAUCCCUGAGCUCAACUCAGGAACUGCACUCGAAACUGCUUAUCUUGAGUACCGGAGAGGAAAGCGGAAUACCUGGUGUAGAGGUGAAAUUCGUAGAUAUCAGGUGGAACACCAGUGGCGAAGGCGGCUUUCUGGACGGUAACUGACGCUGAGACGCGAAAGCGUGGGGAGCAAACAGG
This 253-nucleotide ribosomal RNA is filed under the name uncultured bacterium. RNAcentral's name for it is "partial 16S ribosomal RNA". It matches the Rfam family "Bacterial small subunit ribosomal RNA", at positions 524 to 776 of the family's 1533-position model. The record is from RNAcentral.